Fundulus heteroclitus (mummichog) is the source of this 327-nucleotide small nucleolar RNA. Lineage: Eukaryota; Metazoa; Chordata; Actinopteri; Cyprinodontiformes; Fundulidae. The record is from Ensembl.
AUCCAGUGAUGAGACCGUGGCAUUGUCAAUGAUCUGAUCAGACUUAGAAACUGUGGUUCUUAAUCAGCUGUUUGGUGGGUAAUCUUGGCAGUGUGAUCGAGUUUUGUUACACUGCUGUAAGGGCUCACCUAUAGUCAAACUGUCACCUUCUCCCACCUCUACCACAACAUGAGGAGGUUUGUGGGAUCUGGAGAAGAUGGCAAACAUCGUGUGACUUGUUGUUUGUCUUUGUGUGUCUUGUGUGAAUGUGUAUGUAGCAGCUGGCAAAAGGCUAUAGUCUCUAAUAUGGUUUGACAGAUAUGAACGAUCUUUGGUAAUCUGAGGAUA